CCCCGCUCUACCUGGCCCCUGUCUCUGGGCUCAAGAAUAACUGUGUUUUGAAAGAGAAGGGGUGAGAGGGAAAAUGACUGGUAGGGAAGUGGAGAGGUGUGAUAAUAAUAUCCGACUGCGCUGGAGAGACUGACUGGGACACAGACGUCGUUGUAUGAGGAGGACGAUCAUUUUUCAUCCUAAAGAACAACCCUCUAUCUCUCCAUCAUUUUGUCUCUACCUUCCAGUCCCAGGUGGUCAUGUUAACGUAAGGGAACAUGACAAAAUAGAUUCCUAAGGAAUAAGAGGGUGUCAUCAUAGAUUAACCUUCAUCCUUUUCUUCUGACGUUCAUUAUGUGUUUCUGGUCAUAAUCCUGUCAUUUCCCUCCUUACCUCUCUCUCUCUCUCCCUCUCUCUCUUUCUCUCCCUCUUUCUCUCCCUCCUUACGUCUCUCUCUUCCUCUCUCUCUCUCCUUCCUUACCUCUCUCUCUCUCUCUCUCUUCCUCUCUUUCUAUCCCUCCUUACUUCUCUCUUCCUCUCUCUCUCCUUCCUUACCUCUCUCUCUCCCUCUUACUGCCAUCUGUGUGUUUUAUCACUGUCAUUCCUUCCUCAUCUCAACCUCUUCUGUCUCAACAGUAUCUGUGUGUGUGUACAUGUCCACUGGGUGUGAGCAUGCUCUCUCUGUCUCUCUCAUCUCGCCCCUCUUUUUCACUAUGCCUCACCCUCUCUCUCUCCCCCUUACUCUCUCUCUCCCCCUCUGUCUCCAUCUGGCUGUGUGUCUAUUUUGGUCAGAGACAUUUAGUGGGCCAUUAGGAUCUUGUGUUUGGAAGCCAGCAGGGCUUUUAACAAAGCAGCCAGACUGAUACACUCUCUCUCUCUCUCUCUCUCUCUCUCUCUCUCUCUCUCUCUCUCUCUCUCUCUCUCUCUCUCUCUCUCUCUCUCUCUCUCUCUCUCUCUCUCUCUCUCUCUCUCUCUCUCUAAAGGGGAAAUGUGGGUAUUUGUAUGAUAGAGAGGUAGAUAAGGGGGAGCAAGUGUCUAGGGCAGGGUUGCAUGAGCAAUAACUAAUAAAAUGAUACAACCAGCUCAUCAAACUGGGGGGUUUAUUCCCUACUUCCAACACUUCUCAACCCUCCGGAAUAUUUUCAUUGAAAAAGGGCGUAUCAUGACUAGCCUGUAGCACACUACAUCUCAGCUGAAUUGUAUGCACAGACAGAAACACAAACACAGACAACCACACACACACCCUUCAGAAUGCAGGGAUGUAAAAGAAGGGCCUUCAGGCAAAGAGAUGACACUGGCCCUCUACACACUUGAGUACCCUCUACCUCCUGUAACUGCAAUCCUCACAGACACGUACACACACAAACACACACGUGCACACACCUCUCAGUCCUCGACUAAAAAGUGCAGUGGUUAAAUCAGGUCUCCUCUCUCUGUGCUAUCCCAGUGGUUAACUCAGGUUCCUCUCUGUGCUAUCCCAGUGGUUAACUCAGGUUCCUCUCUCUGUGCUAUCCCAGUAGUUAACUCAGGUUCCUCACUCUGUGCUAUCCCAGUAGUUAACUCAGGUUCCUCUCUGUGCUAUCCCAGUGGUUAACUCAGGUUCCUCACUCUGUGCUAUCCCAGUGGUUAACUCAGGUUCCUCUCUGUGCUAUCCCAGUGGUUAACUCAGGUUCCUCUCUGUGUGCUAUCCCAGUGGUUAACUCAGGUUCCUCUCUGUGCUAUCCCAGUGGUUAACUCAGGUUCCUCUCUGUGCUAUCCCAGUGGUUAACUCAGGUUCCUCUCUGUGUGCUAUCCCAGUGGUUAACUCAGGUUCCUCUCUGUGCUAUCCCAGUGGUUAACUCAGGUUCCUCUCUGUGCUAUCCCAGUGGUUAACUCAGGUUCCUCUCUGUGCUAUCCCAGUAGUUAACUCAGGU
Molecule: long non-coding RNA, 1892 nt
Filed under: Salmo salar (Atlantic salmon)
Lineage: Eukaryota; Metazoa; Chordata; Actinopteri; Salmoniformes; Salmonidae
Description: lncRNA (ENSSSAG00000097162.1)
Source: RNAcentral